This 872-nucleotide ribosomal RNA is filed under the name uncultured bacterium. RNAcentral describes it as "bacterial SSU rRNA". It matches the Rfam family "Bacterial small subunit ribosomal RNA", at positions 113 to 999 of the family's 1533-position model. The record is from RNAcentral.
UCACGUGAGAAACCUGCCCCAGACUCUGGGAUAACAAUUGGAAACGAUUGCUAAUACCCGAUGACCUCCGAGAACCGCAUGGUUCACUGACGAAAGAUAUUUCGGUUUGGGAGGGUCUCGCGGCCUAUCAGCUUGUUGGUGGGGUAAUGGCCUACCAAGGCAACGACGGGUAGCUGGUCUGAGAGGAUGAUCAGCCACACUGGGACUGAGACACGGCCCAGACUCCUACGGGAGGCAGCAGUGGGGAAUCUUGCGCAAUGGGCGAAAGCCUGACGCAGCAACGCCGCGUGCGGGAUGAAGGCCUUCGGGCUGUAAACCGCUUUCAGCAGGAACGAAAAUGACGGUACCUGCAGAAGAAGGAGCGGCCAACUACGUGCCAGCAGCCGCGGUGACACGUAGGCUCCAAGCGUUGUCCGGAUUUAUUGNGGCGUAAAGAGCUCGUAGGCGGUUUAGUAAGUCGGGUGUGAAAACUCUGGGCUUAACCCGGAGACGCCAUCCGAUACUGCUAUGACUUGAGUUCAGGAGGGGAGCGGGGAAUUCCUAGUGUAGCGGUGAAAUGCGCAGAUAUUAGGAGGAACACCGGUGGCGAAGGCGCCGCUCUGGACUGAAACUGACGCUGAGGAGCGAAAGCAUGGGUAGCAAACAGGAUUAGAUACCCUGGUAGUCCAUGCCGUAAACGGUGGGCACUAGGUGUGGGUUCCAACUAACGGGAUCCGCGCCGUCGCUAACGCAUUAAGUGCCCCGCCUGGGGAGUACGGUCGCAAGACUAAAACUCAAAGGGAUUGACGGGGGCCCGCACAAGCAGCGGAGGUNGUUGCUUAAUUCGAUGCUACGCGAAGAACCUUACCUGGGUUUGACAUGUUUGGAAAACC